AGAGUUUGAUCCUGGCUCAGGAUGAACGCUGGCGGUAUGCUUAACACAUGCAAGUCGAACGAAUCCCUUCGGGGAUUAGUGGCGGACGGGUGAGUAACGCGUGAGAAUUUACCAAAAGGACUGGGACAACCACUGGAAACGGUGGCUAAUACCGGAUGAACCGAAAAGUAAAAAGGGAAACCUGCCUUUUGAAGAGCUCGCGUCUGAUUAGCUAGUUGGUGAGGUAAGAGCUCACCAAGGCAGCGAUCAGUAGCUGGUCUGAGAGGAUGACCAGCCACACUGGGACUGAGACACGGCCCAGACUCCUACGGGAGGCAGCAGUGGGGAAUUUUCCGCAAUGGGCGAAAGCCUGACGGAGCAAUACCGCGUGAGGGAAGAAGGCUCUUGGGUCGUAAACCUCUUUUAUCAGGGAAGAAAAAAAUGACGGUACCUGAAGAAUCAGCCUCGGCUAACUCCGUGCCAGCAGCCGCGGUAAUACGGAGGAGGCAAGCGUUAUCCGGAAUUAUUGGGCGUAAAGCGUCCGCAGGUGGCUUAUCAAGUCUGCUGUCAAAGAGUGGGGCUUAACCCCAUUAAGGCAGUGGAAACUGAGAAGCUAGAGUGCCGUAGGGGUAGAGGGAAUUCCCGGUGUAGCGGUGAAAUGCGUAGAGAUCGGGAAGAACAUCGGUGGCGAAAGCGCUCUACUGGACGGCAACUGACACUCAGGGACGAAAGCUAGGGGAGCGAAUGGGAUUAGAUACCCUAGUAGUCC
RNAcentral lists this ribosomal RNA (748 nucleotides) under uncultured bacterium. RNAcentral describes it as "bacterial SSU rRNA". It matches the Rfam family "Bacterial small subunit ribosomal RNA", at positions 8 to 796 of the family's 1533-position model. The record is from RNAcentral.